GACGAACGCUGGCGGCGUGCCUAAUACAUGCAAGUAGAACGCUGAAGAGAGGAGCUUGCUCUUCUUGGAUGAGUUGCGAACGGGUGAGUAACGCGUAGGUAACCUGCCUUGUAGCGGGGGAUAACUAUUGGAAACGAUAGCUAAUACCGCAUAACAAUGGAUGACACAUGUCAUUUAUUUGAAAGGGGCAAUUGCUCCACUACAAGAUGGACCUGCGUUGUAUUAGCUAGUAGGUGAGGUAAUGGCUCACCUAGGCGACGAUACAUAGCCGACCUGAGAGGGUGAUCGGCCACACUGGGACUGAGACACGGCCCAGACUCCUACGGGAGGCAGCAGUAGGGAAUCUUCGGCAAUGGGGGCGACCCUGACCGAGCAACGCCGCGUGAGUGAAGAAGGGUUUCGGAUCGUAAAGCUCCGUUGUAAGUCAAGAACGGGUGUGAGAGUGGAAAGUUCACACUGUGACGGUAGCUUACCAGAAAGGGACGGCUAACUACGUG
RNAcentral lists this ribosomal RNA (497 nucleotides) under uncultured bacterium. RNAcentral's name for it is "partial 16S ribosomal RNA". It matches the Rfam family "Bacterial small subunit ribosomal RNA", at positions 28 to 507 of the family's 1533-position model. The record is from RNAcentral.